This 403-nucleotide ribosomal RNA is filed under the name uncultured bacterium. RNAcentral describes it as "bacterial SSU rRNA". It matches the Rfam family "Bacterial small subunit ribosomal RNA", at positions 355 to 775 of the family's 1533-position model. The record is from RNAcentral.
UGGGGAAUAUUGGACAAUGGGCGAAAGCCUGAUCCAGCAAUGCCGCGUGAGUGAUGAAGGCCUUAGGGUUGUAAAGCUCUUUUACCCGGGAAGAUAAUGACUGUACCGGGAGAAUAAGCUCCGGCUAACUCCGUGCCAGCAGCCGCGGUAAUACGGAGGGAGCUAGCGUUGUUCGGAAUUACUGGGCGUAAAGCGCACGUAGGCGGCUUUGUAAGUUAGAGGUGAAAGCCUGGUGCUCAACACCAGAACUGCCUUUAAGACUGCAUCGCUUGAAUCAUGGAGAGGCGGGUGGAAUUCCGAGUGUAGAGGUGAAAUUCGUAGAUAUUCGGAAGAACACCAGUGGCGAAGGCGGCCCGCUGGACAUGUAUUGACGCUGAGGUGCGAAAGCGUGGGGAGCAAACAG